This is a long non-coding RNA of Hevea brasiliensis (rubber tree), 1111 nucleotides long. RefSeq lists it as uncharacterized. The record is from RefSeq and is a predicted model, not a curated record. Lineage: Eukaryota; Viridiplantae; Streptophyta; Magnoliopsida; Malpighiales; Euphorbiaceae. The transcript is spliced from 3 exons.
UUUUUGUGCAUUUUAUUCAAAUUCACUGUAUUAUUCUGUUUAUAUCCCUAUUUUUGUUAUGCCUCUGAAACAUUUUUCUUUUUUAAACAAUUUUUUUGAAAGAUUAUGCAAAGAUACGAUGAGAUUUGGGUUGGUAAACAAGAUUUCCAUUGGAGAGAGAGAACAACGACAGAUGAGAGAGUGAGAGAGACGACCCUCGAAGCAUCAGCGUCCGAAGAACACAAUAGUACCAAUCUGGCCGCAUGGGGUGGGCCCGUAGCAGAAGACACGUUGGGGUCGUGUCACCAGACAGCGCAAAGACCCGGCCAUUUAGCUGCAGUUUCCGUUGUUUGAACCUCCCCAAGCAUGGGCAGCUCCAGGCGACAGCCCUUCUGCAACUCCAGCGACCGGAACUUUCUCAGGAAAAAGAUAUCUGUAAUAUAUAUGAUCACACCAGGGAACGGGAUUCUCCAAUAUUGUUAUGUUAUAUGAAUUUUGUGGGACAAAUGGCUAUUGAAUUUGAUAUACCGUUCUGCACUAAUAAGGCUUCCAACGAUAAGCAGUCCCUCCGCCAACGUGCUCUUUCCCUCGACUCUUCCAUCCGUCAGUGCCGUUCCCUCUUUGAUUCCUCCUUUCCCAUAAGCUCUUCGAUCCCAAGCUAGCUGAUAAGUCCUGCAGCUCGAAGAAAAUUUACAUAGAGCUAUAUGUAUUAUGGUUGAUGGAGACGUCGCUGCUUUCUUCCAACCAAAGCUCAAGAUUUCUAUAAUCCUAAUUCUUCGUUUAUAUUCUCUUUCUUUUUUAUUUUUUUUUUACUAACCCAUUCACAAAUGACUCAAUUCCUCUCUUCGAUUAUGUAUGCGCAUCUCUACAUGAAGGCGGUUUUCUAAAAAUGUUACUGGGACCAAUGAAUGUCUAAGCCUCUCGCAAAGACCUUCAAUUGAAGGUUAAGGAGGAGUACAAUUGUUACGGGGUAGUCUCAUUCCUUCCCUCCUCUCUUAUAGUUGUUUAGUAUUUGAGCGUCUUGAAUCAUAUUAUCCUUUAACUUUUCUUUGGGUAUUUUGUAAUUGUAUAAAUUACUUUAUUCUUGCCUUUUGUAAUAGUUUAGUUCAUUGAAAGUAGUGUUGAUUUGUUA